CUGGGUUUGACAUGGAUCGGGAGUGCUCAGAGAUGGGUGUGCCUCUUUUGGGGUCGGUUCACAGGUGGUGCAUGGCUGUCGUCAGCUCGUGUCGUGAGAUGUUGGGUUAAGUCCCGCAACGAGCGCAACCCUUGUUCACUGUUGCCAGCACGUUAUGGUGGGGACUCAGUGGAGACCGCCGGGGUCAACUCGGAGGAAGGUGGGGAUGACGUCAAGUCAUCAUGGCCUUUAUGGCCAGGGCUACACACGUGCUACAAUGGUAGAUACAGAGGGAAGCCAACGCGCGAGCGGGAGCCAAUCCCAGAAAAUCUAUCGUAGUCCGGAUCGGAGUCUGCAACUCGACUCCGUGAAGUCGGAAUCGCUAGUAAUCGCAGAUCAGCAACGCUACGGUGAAUACGUUCCC
This 403-nucleotide ribosomal RNA is filed under the name uncultured Gammaproteobacteria bacterium. RNAcentral describes it as "bacterial SSU rRNA". It matches the Rfam family "Bacterial small subunit ribosomal RNA", at positions 975 to 1375 of the family's 1533-position model. Lineage: Bacteria; Pseudomonadati; Pseudomonadota; Gammaproteobacteria. The record is from RNAcentral.